CCUACGGGGGGCAGCAGUGAGGAAUAUUGGUCAAUGGACGAGAGUCUGAACCAGCCAAGUAGCGUGAAGGAUGACUGCCCUAUGGGUUGUAAACUUCUUUUAUAUGGGAAUAAAACAGGGUAUGCAUACCCUCUUGUAUGUACCAUAUGAAUAAGGAUCGGCUAACUCCGUGCCAGCAGCCGCGGUAAUACGGAGGGUGCAAGCGUUGUCCGGAAUCAUUGGGCGUAAAGAGUUCGUAGGCGGCACGUAAAGUCUGGUGUUAAAGGCAGAGGCUCAACUUCUGUACGGCACUGGAUACUUGCGAGCUAGAAUGCGGUAGAGGUAAAGGGAAUUCCUGGUGUAGCGGUGAAAUACUUAGAUAUCAGGAGGAACAUCGGUGGCGUAAGCGCUUUACUGGGCCGUAAUUGACGCUGAGGAACGAAAGCCAGGGUAGCAAAUGGGAUUAGAUACCCGUGUAGUC
Molecule: ribosomal RNA, 460 nt
Filed under: uncultured bacterium
Lineage: Bacteria
Description: partial 16S ribosomal RNA
Rfam family: Bacterial small subunit ribosomal RNA
Source: RNAcentral